UGACUUUGGAUCAGAUGUGAAUACCUGCUGAACUUAAGCAUAUCACUAAGCGGAGGAAACGAAACUAGCAAGCAUUCCCCUAGUAACUGAGAGUGAACAGGGAUUAGCCCAGCACAGAAGCCUGUGGUUAUUUGACGGCAAAACAAUCUGGUGUUUAGGUUUGUUCUUGGCAUUACUGCUCUGCCUCAAGUCCAACAAUGAGUACGGCAUACCAUUGUGACUUAAAGAGGGUGAAAGGCUCGUUGAGGUAGAUACCAAGCAUGACAGUUUUGUCCAGAGCUAACCUU
Molecule: non-coding RNA, 287 nt
Filed under: Trichobilharzia regenti
Lineage: Eukaryota; Metazoa; Platyhelminthes; Trematoda; Strigeidida; Schistosomatidae
Description: Eukaryotic large subunit ribosomal RNA
Rfam family: Eukaryotic large subunit ribosomal RNA
Source: Rfam by way of RNAcentral